This 519-nucleotide ribosomal RNA is filed under the name uncultured delta proteobacterium. Its description in RNAcentral is "bacterial SSU rRNA". It matches the Rfam family "Bacterial small subunit ribosomal RNA", at positions 27 to 523 of the family's 1533-position model. The record is from RNAcentral. Lineage: Bacteria; Deltaproteobacteria.
GAACGAACGCUGGCGGCGUGCCUAACACAUGCAAGUCGAACGGAAGUAAGAAGCUUGCUUUUUACUUUAGUGGCGCACGGGUGAGUAACGCGUGGAUAAUCUGCCUGAUGCUCUGGGAUAACACUUCGAAAGGGGUGCUAAUACCGGAUAAGCCCACGGACUCUUAGGAGUUUGCGGGAAAAGGGGGGGACCUUCGGGCCUCUUGACAUCAGAUGAGUCCGCGUACCAUUAGCUAGUUGGCGGGGUAAGAGCCCACCAAGGCUACGAUGGUUAGCUGGUUUGAGAGAAUGAUCAGCCACACUGGAACUGAGACACGGUCCAGACUCCUACGGGAGGCAGCAGUGGGGAAUUUUGCGCAAUGGGCGAAAGCCUGACGCAGCAACGCCGCGUGAGUGAUGAAGGCCUUCGGGUCGUAAAGCUCUGUCAAGAGGGAAGAAAUGUAUAGUGGUUAAUACCCGCCAUACUUGACGGUACCUCUGGAGGAAGCACCGGCUAACUCCGUGCCAGCAGCCGCGGUAA